AGAUGAUUAGUCUAACCAAGACCACUAAUUUCGACUUAGUAAAUCAUGACUAUUAACAUGAUCAUCUU
RNAcentral lists this transfer RNA (68 nucleotides) under Chelus fimbriata (Mata Mata). RNAcentral's name for it is "tRNA-Arg". The record is from RNAcentral. Lineage: Eukaryota; Metazoa; Chordata; Testudines; Chelidae.